Long non-coding RNA from Homo sapiens (human), 868 nucleotides. Ensembl annotates it as long intergenic non-protein coding RNA 2964. The record is from Ensembl. NCBI's taxonomy places the organism in Eukaryota, Metazoa, Chordata, Mammalia, Primates, Hominidae.
UCUUUGACAGGAUUGCUGCCAUGACUCAAAAUGGGACCAUGCCUUCAGAUCUCCAUCUGCUCCACCCAGGUAAUAAGGACACUUGGAGCCUUCAUGCUCCAUUUGUGACUGGCAAUACAGGGACCUAAAGCGCUGCUGGGUUAGGGUCUCCCCGACCUAGCUGGUCUCGGCAAGUGGCAUCCAUUGUGGGGACUGAAUCCAGGUCAAAGGGUCACAGGAGCGAUGGUUGGAACAGAAAACUAGCUGGAGGACAUCUGAGUACUCUUAAAGCAAUCCCUGUGGUGAGUAAGAAGGGGAGCUUGGAAGCGUCAGGGUAACAAUGGGACAGGUGUGGGGUCUGGUUCAUUUCACCUUGGAACUUUUUCACGCUGAUGUUGAGGAGGAACAAGAGUAUAGCGAAGUAACAGAAGAGGUUACAGAGCAUGUUUAUUUGCCAGCUAAAGCUAAAGCGGCAAAGGAGUGAGAGGUUCAUCCGUACCUUUCUGCACCCCCUCCUUAUUAUUUGGAAGAAAAUGACCCUCCAGAUCUUUCUUUUCCAGAGGACACUGGGUGAAAAGUAGUGGCCCCAGUGACAGUUCGAGCAGUGCCUCGAGCGACCGCUCUUAGUUCUACUCAGGCAGGAAUUCAGCAAGCUAAACAAGAGGGUGAUUUAGAGGCUUGGCAGUUCCCUGUUAGAAUACACCCCCAGAUCAAAAAGGAAGUAUUAUAGCUACAUUUGAGCCUUUUCCUUUUAAAUUACUCAAAGAAUUUAAACAAGCUAUUCAUACUAAAAAAGAAUGUAGAAAAAAGUCAGCAAGUCAGGCCGCCAGAGAGGGGAAAAAAGAAAAUUGUUGAGCCUGAAAUAUGUCCAAAAUGUAAAAAAGGAAAA